Cucurbita pepo subsp. pepo (vegetable marrow) is the source of this 249-nucleotide non-coding RNA. Lineage: Eukaryota; Viridiplantae; Streptophyta; Magnoliopsida; Cucurbitales; Cucurbitaceae. The record is from RefSeq and is a predicted model, not a curated record.
AAAGUGAUUAGUGAGCCAAUUAAAGAACCAAUUCCGCAGUUUUACUUCCAAAAUGGACGUCCACCACCAGUUGACCUGAAAGAGCAAUGCAUGUUCAGGACCAAUCAGGCUUUCUAUGGACACUUGGAUGGGUUACAGAUCCAUGAAUUUAGGGCAGUUACAAAAGAAGUAUGCAAGUUGCCAUCAUUCUUUUCCACUUCUCUUUUCAGAAAGAUAGAUGUUAAUAGCACUGGCAUUGUGACAAGGUAG